Molecule: ribosomal RNA, 1260 nt
Filed under: Stygamoeba regulata
Lineage: Eukaryota; Discosea; Stygamoebida
Description: partial Bacterial large subunit ribosomal RNA
Rfam family: Bacterial large subunit ribosomal RNA
Source: RNAcentral
AAGGCGCUUGAGAGAACUCGGGUGAAGGAACUCGGCAAAAUUGUACCGUAACUUCGGGAGAAGGUACGCCUCUGUUUGUGAACACUUCGCGUGGUAAGCAAAUGGAGGCCGCAGUGACCAGGUGGCUGGGACUGUUUAUUAAAAACACAGCACUCUGCAAACUCGUAAGAGGACGUAUAGGGUGUGACACCUGCCCGGUGCCGGAAGGUUAAUUGAUGGGGUUAGUUUUCGGACGAAGCUCUUGAUCGAAGCCCCGGUAAACGGCGGCCGUAACAAUAACGGUCCUAAGGUAGCGAAAUUCCUUGUCGGGUAAGUUCCGACCUGCACGAAUGGCGUAACGAUCUGGGCACUGUCUCAACGAGAGACUCGGUGAAAUUGUAGUAGCGGUGUAGAUGCCGUUUACCCGCAGCUAGACGGAAAGACCCCGUGAACCUUUACUACAGCUUGGCACUGAACAUUGAACCUACAUGUGUAGGAUAGGUGGGAGGCUUUGAAGCACAGUCGCUAGAUUGUGUGGAGCCGUCCUUGAAAUACCACCCUUGUAUGUUUGAUGUUCUAACAUUGUUCCCUUAUCGGGAAUGUGGACAGUGUCUGGUGGGUAGUUUGACUGGGGCGGUCUCCUCCCAAAUAGUAACGGAGGAGCACGAAGGUUAGCUAAUCACGGUCGGACAUCGUGAGGUUAGUGCAAUGGCAUAAGCUAGCUUAACUGCGAGACAGACACGUCGAGCAGGUACGAAAGUAGGUCAUAGUGAUCCGGUGGUUCUGUAUGGAAGGGCCAUCGCUCAACGGAUAAAAGGUACUCCGGGGAUAACAGGCUGAUACCGCCCAAGAGUUCAUAUCGACGGCGGUGUUUGGCACCUCGAUGUCGGCUCAUCACAUCCUGGGGCUGAAGUCGGUCCCAAGGGUAUGGCUGUUCGCCAUUUAAAGUGGUACGCGAGCUGGGUUUAGAACGUCGUGAGACAGUUCGGUCCCUAUCUGGUGUGGGCGUUGGAUGAUUGAUGGGAGCUGCUCCUAGUACGAGAGGACCGGAGUGGACGAACCGCUGGUGUUCGGGUUGUCAUGCCAAUGGCAUUGCCCGGUAGCUAUGUUCGGAACGGAUAACCGCUGAAAGCAUCUAAGCGGGAAGCCGGCCCAAAGAUGAGUCAUCCCUGACCUUUAAGGUCUGGAAGGGUUGUUAUAGACGAUGACGUUGAUAGGCAGGGUGUGGAAGCGUUGUAAGGCGUUAAGCUAACCUGUACUAAUUGCCCGAGAGGCUUAACC